RNAcentral lists this ribosomal RNA (482 nucleotides) under uncultured bacterium. Its description in RNAcentral is "partial 16S ribosomal RNA". It matches the Rfam family "Bacterial small subunit ribosomal RNA", at positions 30 to 507 of the family's 1533-position model. The record is from RNAcentral.
AUUGAACGCUGGCGGCAUGCCUUACACAUGCAAGUCGAACGGUAACAGGUCUUCGGAUGCUGACGAGUGGCGAACGGGUGAGUAAUACAUCGGAACGUGUCCGAUCGUGGGGGAUAACGAGGCGAAAGCUUUGCUAAUACCGCAUACGAUCUACGGAUGAAAGCGGGGGAUCUUCGGACCUCGCGCGGACGGAGCGGCCGAUGGCAGAUUAGGUAGUUGGUGGGAUAAAAGCUUACCAAGCCGACGAUCUGUAGCUGGUCUGAGAGGAUGAUCAGCCACACUGGGACUGAGACACGGCCCAGACUCCUACGGGAGGCAGCAGUGGGGAAUUUUGGACAAUAGGCGAAAGCCUGAUCCAGCCAUGCCGCGUGCAGGAUGAAGGCCUUCGGGUUGUAAACUGCUUUUGUACGGAACGAAAAGCCUCUUUCUAAUAAAGAGGGGUCAUGACGGUACCGUAAGAAUAAGCACCGGCUAACUACGUG